Molecule: ribosomal RNA, 252 nt
Filed under: uncultured Gardnerella sp.
Lineage: Bacteria; Bacillati; Actinomycetota; Actinomycetes; Bifidobacteriales; Bifidobacteriaceae
Description: partial 16S ribosomal RNA
Rfam family: Bacterial small subunit ribosomal RNA
Source: RNAcentral
CGGGUGAGUAAUGCGUGACCAACCUGCCCCAUGCUCCAGAAUAGCUCUUGGAAACGGGUGGUAAUGCUGGAUGCUCCAACUUGACGCAUGUCUUGUUGGGAAAGUGUUUAGUGGCAUGGGAUGGGGUCGCGUCCUAUCAGCUUGUAGGCGGGGUAAUGGCCCACCUAGGCUUCGACGGGUAGCCGGCCUGAGAGGGCGGACGGCCACAUUGGGACUGAGAUGCGGCCCAGACUCCUACGGGAGGCAGCAGAU